CUCCCAAAAGGGCCAAGGGACAGGAGCAGGGGCUGCCAUGCCUUGGCUCCCUGAUGACUGGCCAGGACCCUCCCAGGGCUCUGCCCCCAGUGAUCCCACACAACCCCAGCCCUGGGAAGGGCUGCUGCCAUUGGAGAGGAAGCAUUAUUUAGCUGGAGCAUAGACUGGAGCUCUGUACAGCAGGACCUUUUUUUCAAAAGGCACUACAAAGAAAUGUUAUGAAGCAAUAUAUUGCCUGGAUCAAAUGCACCAACACCAGGAUCUACCCUGCUUGUUUCUCUGGGAGAUCACCAGGACAUAUGACAGCAUCCUCAGCGAGCUGCAGGGGAGCUAGAGAUGGGCUUCACUCAGAGUAGUGUGGGUGUGUGGUCCCAGGCUCCAGUCUGGACUCUGGAAGUUUUCACCAGCCACACUUUGGUCUGAAUCUUAUUUCUAGAAGAUUGCAUCAUAUCACAGCCAGUAGGUUGCUUGUCCCACAUUCUUCACAGCUUCAGGCAAGUCCACUUGCUUAACAGUUUCCUGUGAUGCUCCUUGAUGCUUGAUUAAUUCUGUAUCAUGGUGAGAUUAAAAAGACAAAAAGCCUUUUUCCCCCCCUACUGCUCCUUUUC
RNAcentral lists this long non-coding RNA (608 nucleotides) under Cyanistes caeruleus (blue tit). Its description in RNAcentral is "lncRNA (ENSCCEG00000015223.1)". The record is from RNAcentral. Lineage: Eukaryota; Metazoa; Chordata; Aves; Passeriformes; Paridae.